This 374-nucleotide ribosomal RNA is filed under the name Salmonella enterica subsp. enterica serovar Hadar. RNAcentral describes it as "bacterial SSU rRNA". It matches the Rfam family "Bacterial small subunit ribosomal RNA", at positions 289 to 655 of the family's 1533-position model. The record is from RNAcentral. Lineage: Bacteria; Pseudomonadati; Pseudomonadota; Gammaproteobacteria; Enterobacterales; Enterobacteriaceae.
GGUCUGAGAGGAUGACCAGCCACACUGGAACUGAGACACGGUCCAGACUCCUACGGGAGGCAGCAGUGGGGAAUAUUGCACAAUGGGCGCAAGCCUGAUGCAGCCAUGCCGCGUGUAUGAAGAAGGCCUUCGGGUUGUAAAGUACUUUCAGCGGGGAGGAAGGUGUUGUGGUUAAUAACCGCAGCAAUUGACGUUACCCGCAGAAGAAGCACCGGCUAACUCCGUGCCAGCAGCCGCGGUAAUACGGAGGGUGCAAGCGUUAAUCGGAAUUACUGGGCGUAAAGCGCACGCAGGCGGUCUGUCAAGUCGGAUGUGAAAUCCCCGGGCUCAACCAGGGAACUGCAAUCGAAACUGUCAGACUUUCAUCUUGUAGA